Molecule: non-coding RNA, 145 nt
Organism: Salmonella enterica subsp. enterica serovar Typhi
Lineage: Bacteria; Pseudomonadati; Pseudomonadota; Gammaproteobacteria; Enterobacterales; Enterobacteriaceae
Source: Rfam
AACCACAAUAAACACUCUAGCCUCUGCACCUGGGUCAUUUUUGAUAUGGUGCUUUGGCCGUGACAACGUUUAACGUUUGCCACCAGGGCGCAGGAAGAAAUGACUCCGCCUCCCGUAUUUGGAAAGGUGUACAUGGCUUCACAAC